UGGCAGCUAUACAUGCAGUUGAGCGCUGAAGGUUGGUACUUGUACCGACUGGAUGAGCAGCGAACGGGUGAGUAACGCGUGGGGAAUCUGCCUUUGAGCGGGGGACAACAUUUGGAAACGAAUGCUAAUACCGCAUAAAAACUUUAAACACAAGUUUUAAGUUUGAAAGAUGCAAUUGCAUCACUCAAAGAUGAUCCCGCGUUGUAUUAGCUAGUUGGUGAGGUAAAGGCUCACCAAGGCGAUGAUACAUAGCCGACCUGAGAGGGUGAUCGGCCACAUUGGGACUGAGACACGGCCCAAACUCCUACGGGAGGCAGCAGUAGGGAAUCUUCGGCAAUGGACGAAAGUCUGACCGAGCAACGCCGCGUGAGUGAAGAAGGUUUUCGGAUCGUAAAACUCUGUUGGUAGAGAAGAACGUUGGUGAGAGUGGAAAGCUCAUCAAGUGACGGUAACUACCCAGAAAGGGACGGCUAACUACGUGCCAGCAGCCGCGGUAAUACGUAGGUCCCGAGCGUUGUCCGGAUUUAUUGGGCGUAAAGCGAGCGCAGGUGGUUUAUUAAGUCUGGUGUAAAAGGCAGUGGCUCAACCAUUGUAUGCAUUGGAAACUGGUAGACUUGAGUGCAGGAGAGGAGAGUGGAAUUCCAUGUGUAGCGGUGAAAUGCGUAGAUAUAUGGAGGAACACCGGUGGCGAAAGCGGCUCUCUGGCCUGUAACUGACACUGAGGCUCGAAAGCGUGGGGAGCAAACAGGAUUAGAUACCCUGGUAGUCCACGCCGUAAACGAUGAGUGCUAGAUGUAGGGAGCUAUAAGUUCUCUGUAUCGCAGCUAACGCAAUAAGCACUCCGCCUGGGGGAGUACGACCGCAAGGUGAUAGAAAAUAAGGGGGGGACCUUG
RNAcentral lists this ribosomal RNA (893 nucleotides) under Lactococcus lactis subsp. lactis. RNAcentral's name for it is "bacterial SSU rRNA". It matches the Rfam family "Bacterial small subunit ribosomal RNA", at positions 45 to 923 of the family's 1533-position model. Lineage: Bacteria; Bacillati; Bacillota; Bacilli; Lactobacillales; Streptococcaceae. The record is from RNAcentral.